RNAcentral lists this ribosomal RNA (451 nucleotides) under uncultured bacterium. Its description in RNAcentral is "partial 16S ribosomal RNA". It matches the Rfam family "Bacterial small subunit ribosomal RNA", at positions 354 to 796 of the family's 1533-position model. The record is from RNAcentral.
GUGGGGAAUAUUGGACAAUGGGGGGAACCCUGAUCCAGCCAUGCCGCGUGUGUGAAGAAGGCCUUUUGGUUGUAAAGCACUUUAAGCGAGGAGGAGGCUACCGAGAUUAAUACUCUUGGAUAGUGGACGUUACUCGCAGAAUAAGCACCGGCUAACUCUGUGCCAGCAGCCGCGGUAAUACAGAGGGUGCAAGCGUUAAUCGGAUUUACUGGGCGUAAAGCGCGCGUAGGUGGCCAAUUAAGUCAAAUGUGAAAUCGCCGAGCUUAACUUGGGAAUUGCAUUCGAUACUGGUUGGCUAGAGUAUGGGAGAGGAUGGUAGAAUUCCAGGUGUAGCGGUGAAAUGCGUAGAGAUCUGGAGGAAUACCGAUGGCGAAGGCAGCCAUCUGGCCUAAUACUGACACUGAGGUGCGAAAGCAUGGGGAGCAAACAGGAUUAGAAACCCUGGUAGUCC